RNAcentral lists this ribosomal RNA (496 nucleotides) under uncultured bacterium. RNAcentral's name for it is "partial 16S ribosomal RNA". It matches the Rfam family "Bacterial small subunit ribosomal RNA", at positions 28 to 506 of the family's 1533-position model. The record is from RNAcentral.
GAUGAACGCUGGCGGCGUGCCUAAUACAUGCAAGUCGAGCGAACAGAUGAGGAGCUUGCUCCUCUGACGUUAGCGGCGGACGGGUGAGUAACACGUGGAUAACCUACCUAUAAGACUGGGAUAACUUCGGGAAACCGGAGCUAAUACCGGAUAAUAUAUUGAACCGCAUGGUUCAAUAGUGAAAGACGGUUUUGCUGUCACUUAUAGAUGGAUCCGCGCCGCAUUAGCUAGUUGGUAAGGUAACGGCUUACCAAGGCGACGAUGCGUAGCCGACCUGAGAGGGUGAUCGGCCACACUGGAACUGAGACACGGUCCAGACUCCUACGGGAGGCAGCAGUAGGGAAUCUUCCGCAAUGGGCGAAAGCCUGACGGAGCAACGCCGCGUGAGUGAUGAAGGUCUUCGGAUCGUAAAACUCUGUUAUUAGGGAAGAACAAAUGUGUAAGUAACUAUGCACGUCUGGACGGUACCUAAUCAGAAAGCCACGGCUAACUACGU